Molecule: unclassified non-coding RNA, 317 nt
Filed under: uncultured fungus
Lineage: Eukaryota; Fungi
Description: partial contains small subunit ribosomal RNA, internal transcribed spacer 1, and 5.8S ribosomal RNA
Rfam family: Eukaryotic small subunit ribosomal RNA (bases 1-73)
Source: RNAcentral
GCAAACUUGGUCAUUUAGAGGAAGUAAAAGUCGUAACAAGGUUUCCGUAGGUGAACCUGCGGAAGGAUCAUUAACGAGUGAGGGUCUCCUGGGCCCGACCUCCCAACCCAUUGUUUACCAAACCGUUUGUUGCUUCGGCGAGCCCGUCUCCACGGACCGCCGGGGGACCGUGAUAGGUCUCCUGGCCCGCGCUCGUCGGUGGCCCCAACCUCAAAAACUCUUAAUUAAACGUGUCUUGACUAAGUUCUAAUUUUUUAAUUAAAAGCAAAACUUUCAACAACGGAUCUCUUGGUUCUGGCAUCGAUGAAGAACGCAGC